ACCAGCUCUUCAAGUGGUCGGGAUGAUUAUUGGGCUUAAAGUGUCCGUAGCCGGUUUAGUAAGUUCCUGGUAAAAUCAGGUAGCUUAACUAUCUGUAUGCUAGGAAUACUACUAUACUAGAGGGCGGGAGAGGUCUGAGGUACUAUAGGGGUAGGGGUGAAAUCUUAUAAUCCUUGUAGGACCACCAGUGGCGAAGGCGUCAGACUGGAACGUGCCUGACGGUGAGGGACGAAAGCCAGGGGAGCGAACCGGAUUAGAUACCCGGGUAGUCCUGGCCGUAAACGAUGCAUACUAGGUGAUGGCCCGGCCAUGAGCCGUGUCAGUGCCGUAGGGAAACCGUUAAGUGUGCCGCCUGGGAAGUACGGUCGCAAGGCUAAAACUUAAAGGAAUUGGCGGGGAGCACCACAAGGGGUGAAGCCUGCGGUUC
Molecule: ribosomal RNA, 427 nt
Filed under: uncultured archaeon
Lineage: Archaea
Description: bacterial SSU rRNA
Rfam family: Archaeal small subunit ribosomal RNA
Source: RNAcentral